CGUCGUUUGCCAGCAGCUGCUAACUGCUCAGUGACCGCCAGUGGUGUGAUAACUUUAAUAGGUGAAUAGUAUGUCUGGCGGCUGGAGUAGGCUUCUUACCUUAGAUUGGGUUUCCUUCAUACUCAAGACAAGGAGGAGUCAUUCACGUGGUGUGGACCCAGCAAACCCGGAGCCACUCAGCCGCCGCUACACCUCAUCCGACAAGGUCCUGGAAACUGUGCCCUCGAUGCCUGCCCCCAGGAGCGCCUCACCUUCUGUAGUCUUCGGUCAUAAACGCGUGCGAGUCGAACGAGGGCACCACUGGUCUUGACGGCACCAGCGAUCAGCAGGCAUGCCAGCGCAGUCCGAGUGAGGGAACCACCGUCACGACGACCCCCACCACAACUCCCAUAACAAGCGCUACUUCCAAAAAUACCACGACGCUGGAGUGGAACGACAUCUACUACGAAGAGUCGAAAAACACAUGGAGUGAUGCCCGGGAAAAAUGCAGGAAGAGAGGCGGAGACCUGCUAGUGACUGAUGACAUCCGUGCGCUGUCGAAGUACAUAAAGCAAAAUGUUGGAAGAGAAGUGGUGUGGCUCGGCGCCCGCGGCAACUCCUGGCUGAACGGCCCGCCCUGUCAUGAACGACGUGGGAAGCUCUGAUGAGAGCUCCGACGACUGCAUCGCACUGAAGUAUGACGAGUUGAAUGCCGAAAACUGUAACAAGGUCCUCGUUUCACUCUGCAUACUGACCAUCCAGUACCCCAAGUGAGGCCCAGGACGUGCUUCAGGCAUGGCAGGGGCGUGGCGUGCGGUAUGUGAUGGCUGGCAGUCAGGCUGCAGCGAACAACAGAUAUAAAGCCAUGCUUAAAUUUUAGAAAUAUACGUUGAAAAAAAUUAUCUCUCUUACUUGUCCUUU
Long non-coding RNA from Scylla paramamosain (green mud crab), 900 nucleotides. RefSeq lists it as uncharacterized. NCBI's taxonomy places the organism in Eukaryota, Metazoa, Arthropoda, Malacostraca, Decapoda, Portunidae. The record is from RefSeq and is a predicted model, not a curated record. The transcript has 5 exons.